AGGACUUGACAUCGGUGUGAUCGGCGCAGAGAUGCGUCUUCCCUUCGGGGCACACUAGAC
Molecule: ribosomal RNA, 60 nt
Filed under: uncultured organism
Description: partial 16S ribosomal RNA
Source: RNAcentral